RNAcentral lists this ribosomal RNA (421 nucleotides) under uncultured bacterium. Its description in RNAcentral is "bacterial SSU rRNA". It matches the Rfam family "Bacterial small subunit ribosomal RNA", at positions 355 to 794 of the family's 1533-position model. The record is from RNAcentral.
UGGGGAAUAUUGCACAAUGGGGGAAACCCUGAUGCAGCGACGCCGCGUGAACGAAGAAGUAUUUCGGUAUGUAAACUUCUGUCCUUGGGGAAGAUAAUGACGGUACCCUUGGAGGAAGCCCCGGCUAACUACGUGCCAGCAGCCGCGGUAAUACGUAGGGGGCAAGCGUUAUCCGGAAUUAUUGGGCGUAAAGAGUGCGUAGGUGGUAACCUAAGCAGGGGGUGAAAGGCAAAGGCUUAACCAUUGUCAGCCCCCUGAACUGGGCUACUUGAGUGCAGGAGAGGAAAGCGGAAUUCCUAGUGUAGCGGUGAAAUGCGUAGAUAUUAGGAGGAACACCAGUGGCGAAGGCGGCUUUCUGGACUGUUACUGACACUGAGGCACGAAAGUGUGGGGAGCAAACAGGAUUAGAUACCCUGGUAGU